UUAUAGUUUAAAGGUCAGAGUUGCUAUUAUUCUACAUGCCUAUGUAGUAGUACAGUAAAGGCAAAUCUGUGUACCCUGUUUCCCUCCCCUACCUGAAUGCCCUCCGAGAGUUCGAUCCACUUUUAGAUCUGAUGGCACCUGUUCUAAUUAAUUCAAAUGUACAUACUACUGCAAAAAUGCUUGUGUUGUUGCCUCUGUGGAUGAUCAGGAUUUUCCUGAAUUCUAUAGGAUAUCUGCAUUUAUCAUCACUCCUCCCCCAACUACACAAGUGGCCUUUGUUUGUGAACAACUGGUCACAGAGCAUUAUUUGGCUCAUUAUCAUGCGUACGCGGUACGUACGACGGAUAUAGUCAAGAUUGUUCGCCAACAGGACCUCUAUGAUUUCCAUCCUUUCCAUCCUUUACAGUGUGUCACCUUGCCAGAAACUCGCACAAGUAAUCAUGCCAAGAGGUUGUACACACGAACUGAUCAAAUCACUGACUAUGAUGAUGACUGAUUUCAAGCACGUGUCAUUUGUCUUUACUGCUGUUUGAUACACUUUUUUUGACCACCAGGCUAUUAUAGGCUCACACUUAUAAUAGUUUAUAUUGUGCAUGCAGAAAGCCCUUCUUUAUCAUCCCUGGCCUAGUUGUGAUACUGUAUUCACUUUGCUGGUGGGUACACUCUUAUCUAUAUAGCUACAGGGUUGUACAUGCAUAUACGUAUUUACAUGUAGCUAGCUAUCUUAUCACUGUUUUUGGCCACUGUGCUCACACACUUUCAUUUUUGGAUUUAUAAGUUCAUAUUUUGCAGAAAGUCCUUCCUCAUCAUCCCUUAGAGUGUGCUUCCUUUAGUUUUACUGUUUGGUUCACUUUGCUGGUCGUUGCUAGGGUGUACAUGUACAUACCCCUUAAGGUUGCAUAUGUAUAGGUACUUGAUUAUCACUGUUUUUGGCCACCAUGGAGGCUCACACACUUAUAAAUUAGUUUAUAAUUAUUGUGCAGAAAGCCCUUCUUUAUCAUCCCCUGGCCUAGCUGUAGUUAGUAAUACUGUAUUACUUUGAUUCACUUUGCUGGCUUAAUAUUUUGCAGAAAGUCCUUCCUCAUCAUCCCCUAGAGUGUGCUUCCUUUAGUUUUACUGUUCGGUUCACUUUGCUGGUCGUUGCUAGGGUACAUAUACACAUUAAUUUAUUAAUUCAUAUUACCACAUUUUUUGCCACAGCACAUACACAUAAUUAUUGGAUUUGUAUGCACAUGUAGGCCCUCCUAACCAUCCACCAACUGCUCAAACUUUUUUUUGCUGUCAGAUUCAUUAUAAUAGUCGUUGUUAAGGCUUUUACAUACACAAAUAUUUGAGUACUAGCUAUAGCAUAUUUUGGUCACAAAUAAUAUUUUGUGAGUUAAGAUUCUGCAGGUAUCCCUUCCUAACCACCCUCCAAGUGAGCUGUCUGAUUCUUUAUACCGGACCCUGUCAUGUAUACCAAUGUGUGUACUUGGGUACGUUUCCUAUCAAUUUAAUGUGUAGCUAUAUAUAUAUACAUUAUUUAUAUUACCACAUUUUUUGCCACAGCACAUACACAUAUUGGAUUUGUAUGCUAUUAUUCUACAUGUAGGCCCUCCUAACCAUCCACCAACUGCUCACAUUUUUGUUUUGCUGUCUGAUAAUAGUCGUUGUCAAGGCAUUUACAUACACAAAUUUGAGUACUAGUGUUUAACCAUUGACGAAAAGUCUGUCAAAGAAAGAGAUUCCAUGAAGUGUUCUGGCAUUAGCGAAGAUGAGGUGCAAAAAUAAUUAUAUCAAUAGUUCUCGACUCAACCAGAAAAUCAAAGGAAGAUUUGAGAAUAAACCAUCCAAUGCAUUAAAGCAAUCCUUAUAUAAUUAUAGCAUCAAGUUCAUAAUAAGCAUUAUGCAUGGACUAUCCCAUAGACAUACAAAGCAAGAUAAUAAUACAACGUACAUAUAUACCAGACAGGAUUUAAUUAAUAUGGCCGGGGCUGUUAAAAUAAUGUUGUGUCGUUGAAACUUAAUUAUCCAACUGCAUGAUAGCCUCCCUCACACAUAUAGCUAUAGGGCAAUAUUCUAGAUUUAUAUAGUUUAACAGAUACACCAAGAGAGGCCGGUAUAGUGGAUCAACCAUAUAUAACUAUACUCCGACCACUUCUAAGUUUUAUUCCCUCUCACAGCCAACUAUAUAGUUAUAUCCGCCUAUUUGAUCCACAAGUUUUACAAUUCAAGCUAUAAUUAUAACUUCAGCAGUACUUCCACCCAAUCAUCUCCCUAAGCCUCCCAAUAAUUAUGUUAAAACUGCCUAUUUAUAUAGAACUAAAAACAGACAACAUCAGCUAUUGUAUAUACAGACAUGCAACGGCCACAACAGCGUCCUUAACUGGUUCACCAAGGAAUAAGACAUAACGUUAAAAACUUGCAUGGAUUAAGGAAAUAUACACUACUAUAUCAAGCUAUGCAAACUAGAGGAACUUCAAUUACAAAACCAAUCCCUGAUCCUGAAAUUGAUUAUGACACAAACCUAUAGCACAAACUCUAGCAGCCAAACCCAAAAAGCUGUUCUCUAAAUCCACUAUACCUAUGCAUGCCCUUGUAACAGAUGUAUCGUGAACUGCAUGCAUAUAUAAGAACUUACCAGAGCUAUAGCUAGCGUUAACAAUCUGCGUAUAAUGUUAUGUGUUUGUCCAUUACAAUUGUGUUUUAUACUCAGCAUUCUAUAACUUCUAGCAUUCCUAGGCAGUUUCAAGAAACUCUGGACACUCAAGUGGCAAGUAGGCAAGAGCUAAACUUACUCAUUUUUGUCAAUGUUUACUUUGUUGUAUCUUAGUCAAACCUGGGUCAUUAGUGUUCUUAUUUGGUCUACUUGUAGUUACCAGUGUUGUCUAUAGUCUAGGCCUAUCUGUAUCUGUCCAGCACCUCCAGUACUGAUUUGCCCAGAAAUCAAAGUCACAGAAAAAAUUAAUAUCACCAGUUUUCUUUCAUUCAAUGUAACUAUUUACUUACCACUUUAUUUUUUUUAUCAUUCAGUAGCUUAUUUAUUCAGCAUUAUUUCUAUAUCAUUUAAUA
Molecule: long non-coding RNA, 3051 nt
Organism: Halichondria panicea
Lineage: Eukaryota; Metazoa; Porifera; Demospongiae; Suberitida; Halichondriidae
Exons: 3
Source: RefSeq, a predicted model, not a curated record